AUUGAACGCUGGCGGCAGGCCUAACACAUGCACGUCGAACGAGUGGCGGACGGGUGAGUAAUGUCUGGGAAACUGCCCGAUGGAGGGGGAUAACUACUGGAAACGGUAGCUAAUACCGCAUACCAUCGGAUGUGCCCAGAUGGGAUUAGCUAGUAGGUGGGGUAACGGCUCACACAGGCGACGAUCCCUAGCUGGUAUGAGCGGAUGACCAGCCACACUGGAACUGAGACACGGUCCAGACUCCGACGGGAGGCAGCAGUGGGGAGUAUUGCACAAUGGGCGCAAGCCUGAGGCAGCCAUGCCGCGUGUAUGAAGAAGGCCUUCGGGUUGUAAAGUACUUUCAGCGAGGAGGCGUUACUCGCAGAAGAAGCACCGGCUGACUCCGUGCCAGCCGCCGCGGUAACAC
Molecule: ribosomal RNA, 406 nt
Filed under: uncultured bacterium
Lineage: Bacteria
Description: partial 16S ribosomal RNA
Rfam family: Bacterial small subunit ribosomal RNA
Source: RNAcentral